RNAcentral lists this ribosomal RNA (380 nucleotides) under uncultured bacterium. Its description in RNAcentral is "bacterial SSU rRNA". It matches the Rfam family "Bacterial small subunit ribosomal RNA", at positions 30 to 410 of the family's 1533-position model. The record is from RNAcentral.
AUUGAACGCUGGCGGCAUGCCUUACACAUGCAAGUCGAACGGCAGCACGGACUUCGGUCUGGUGGCGAGUGGCGAACGGGUGAGUAAUGCAUCGGAACGUGCCAUUGAGUGGGGGAUAACGUAGCGAAAGUUGCGCUAAUACCGCAUAUUCUGUGAGCAGGAAAGCAGGGGACCGCAAGGCCUUGCGCUCUUUGAGCGGCCGAUGUCAGAUUAGCUAGUUGGUGAGGUAAAGGCUUACCAAGGCGACGAUCUGUAGCGGGUCUGAGAGGAUGAUCCGCCACACUGGAACUGAGACACGGUCCAGACUCCUACGGGAGGCAGCAGUGGGGAAUUUUGGACAAUGGGGGCAACCCUGAUCCAGCCAUGCCGCGUGAGUGAAG